UUACAAUUAAAGGAUAUUUCUUGGGAGAAUCGAGUCAGAAAUGUCUUUUAAUUGUUUGGC
Molecule: non-coding RNA, 60 nt
Organism: Takifugu rubripes (torafugu)
Lineage: Eukaryota; Metazoa; Chordata; Actinopteri; Tetraodontiformes; Tetraodontidae
Source: Rfam